AUGUCUGGACUACUCUGAGGCUAUCUGUUUUAGCUCUUCUCCUCACUCGUAAUGAAGUCAGGGAGUCCUAAAUAUCCAAAAUGGUGCGCCUGAAACUACUCAAGGGAUGGACCAUGACGAAGGGAGAGCACAGAGAUUCAUCCUUUGCAGUCCUGGAAUUGGCCUAAUUGCUCUUCUCUGGACUUUCUCUGGUGCUGUGAUGUCUUUUUUGGAUUAUGGAGAUCAAAACUGAACAC
Long non-coding RNA from Polypterus senegalus (gray bichir), 236 nucleotides. RefSeq lists it as uncharacterized. NCBI's taxonomy places the organism in Eukaryota, Metazoa, Chordata, Cladistia, Polypteriformes, Polypteridae. The transcript has 3 exons. The record is from RefSeq and is a predicted model, not a curated record.